UACGGGGAUGGCGAGCGUUACUCGGAUUUAUUGGGUGUAAAGGACAGGUAGGCGUCCUAUUAAGUUAGAAGUGAAAUCCUGUGGCUCAACCACAGAACUGCUUUUAAAACUGAUAGGAUUGAGGUCAGAAGGGGAAAGCGGAAUUCCCGGUGUAAGAGUGAAAUCUGUAGAUAUCGGGAGGAACACCAGUAGCGAAGGCGGCUUUCUGGUCUGACCCUGACGCUGAACUGUGAAAGCUAGGGGAGCAAACAGG
Molecule: ribosomal RNA, 253 nt
Filed under: uncultured bacterium
Lineage: Bacteria
Description: partial 16S ribosomal RNA
Rfam family: Bacterial small subunit ribosomal RNA
Source: RNAcentral